GGAAAGCCCUUCUUUUCAUUUUCAGACCGCAUGUUUUUAAGAGGAAAAAACUCCUUUUCCUUUUCGAUUUUUCUUUCUUUCUUUUUUCGUUUUCUUUUUUUUAUGCCAGCCAGUGAGAGUUGGAGCGAGGGUGAUUGGAUUGGAGAGGACCAAAAAUCAAAUCCUCCUGUUCCUUUUUCUUUUCCUCUUCUUUAUUACCGUUGGAGGUGAG
This 211-nucleotide long non-coding RNA is filed under the name Lathyrus oleraceus (garden pea). RNAcentral describes it as "Pisum sativum (pea) long non-coding RNA (PSAT_LNC008477)". The record is from RNAcentral. Lineage: Eukaryota; Viridiplantae; Streptophyta; Magnoliopsida; Fabales; Fabaceae.